UGAGGAAUAUUGGUCAAUGGACGGGAGUCUGAACCAGCCAAGUAGCGUGAAGGAUGACUGCCCUAUGGGUUGUAAACUUCUUUUACAUGGGAAUAAAGUUUUCCACGUGUGGAAUUUUGUAUGUACCAUAUGAAUAAGGAUCGGCUAACUCCGUGCCAGCAGCCGCGGUAAUACGGAGGAUCCGAGCGUUAUCCGGAUUUAUUGGGCUUAAAGGGAGCGUAGGUGGACAGUUAAGUCAGUUGUGAAAGUUUGCGGCUCAACCGUAAAAUUGCAGUUGAUACUGGCUGUCUUGAGUACAGUAGAGGUGGGCGGAAUUCGUGGUGUAGCGGUGAAAUGCUUAGAUAUCACGAAGAACUCCGAUUGCGAAGGCAGCUCACUGGACUGCAACUGACACUGAUGCUCGAAAGUGUGGGUAUCAAACAGGAUUAGAUACCCUGGUAGU
Molecule: ribosomal RNA, 442 nt
Filed under: uncultured Bacteroides sp.
Lineage: Bacteria; Pseudomonadati; Bacteroidota; Bacteroidia; Bacteroidales; Bacteroidaceae
Description: bacterial SSU rRNA
Rfam family: Bacterial small subunit ribosomal RNA
Source: RNAcentral